CUCUUUAGCGACGUCAUAUGACAGAAAUAAUAGACGGGCCUUAUCGGUGGCAGUCGUCCGGCAACGCAAGCGGUGCAUAUUGCCCGCAACAGAAACGUCAUUGAGCCGUCUCAAAAGAUUUACAGGCACGUGACCAGUAUCGCCACUCUUCGUGGCGCGGCGGGACAUCAUCGAACCUGGCAGCGCAGACGACGUGGUUAGAGAUGGGACCGGCCGGAGCCGGACUGUUCCGACCGCGGAUGUUCAAGUGCUCGAGCGAUGCCGAGCACGACAAAU
Molecule: unclassified non-coding RNA, 276 nt
Filed under: Hevea brasiliensis (rubber tree)
Lineage: Eukaryota; Viridiplantae; Streptophyta; Magnoliopsida; Malpighiales; Euphorbiaceae
Source: RNAcentral